RNAcentral lists this long non-coding RNA (1404 nucleotides) under Octopus vulgaris (common octopus). Lineage: Eukaryota; Metazoa; Mollusca; Cephalopoda; Octopoda; Octopodidae. The record is from RNAcentral.
UUUUUAUUUCCCACAUUUUGCUAUUAACCAUUUCUUAAUAUCCUCACCAUUUCCAUCUAUACCUAAACAGACAUUUUUAUACAUCGUGGAUCCCCGUCGUUCGCCGAUGAGGAUUCAGGUGUAAGACCAACUGAAUCCCCUGCUCCGCAAUUCCGUGAGUCGCCGAGGAUUCCGCUGGAAUCAUACAAGAACCUCUGCGACCCGAAGCUGACCUCUUUGGAAUUCCUCGGUUCAGCACUUUCCCCUCUGUCCGAUUUCAUUCAGGUCAACUGGACACUGCAGAAAGUGUUAUUUGCCCAAAGUGUCUCGCAGUAGGACAGAACGAGGGACCUCGUGGUUGUUAAGGGAUCUUCUUGACCAUUCGGCCGUACUCUGCCUACACACACACACACGAAGCACCUGCUGAAGAUGACGUGCAACUUCCAAAGAAAGUUUUAACACUGGAAAACUUCAAGGUGCAUACGUCGAAAGUUUAUUUCUAUAGCAUAUCUGUGCCUAUCUAUCUAUCUAUCUAUCCAUCCAUCCAUCCGUUUAUCCAUCUAUUUGUCUGUCUAUUUAUCUAUAUAUGUCUACCUAUCUAUCUCUAUUUAUCUAUCUAUCUAUCUCUCUUUACUCUUUUACUUGUUUCAGUCAUGUGACUGUGGCCAUGCUGGAGCACCGCCUUUAGUCGAGCAAAUCGACCCCAGGACUUAUUCUUUGUAAGCCUAGUACUUAUUUUAUCGGUCUCUUUUUGCCGAACCGCUAAGUUACGGGAACGUAAACACACCAGCAUCGGUUGUCAAGCGAUGUUGGGGGGACAAACACAGACACACAAACGCACACACAUACACAUAUAUAUACAUAUAUACAACGGGCUUCUUUCAGUUUCCGCCUACCAAAUCCACUCACAAGGCUUUGGUCGGCCCGAGGCUAUAGUAGAAGACCCUUGCCCAAGGUGCCACGCAGUGGGACUGAACCCGGAACCAUGUGGUUGGUAAACAAGCUACUUACCACACAACCCUAUCUAUCCAUUUGUCUAUAUAGAAAUAUAGUGAAAUUUCCAUUGUUGAAGUUCUACUCAUUAAGUUUCCUCAAUAUCUUUUACUGUUUUUCUCUUAUUUCAGAAUAUCAGAACAAUUCAAGUGUUUAAGAAUAUCUGACUUCAGUUCUCUCAUCAAUUUUGUGUGUUAAAGACUAAUGGAAGAUACCCAAAACAAACACCUUCAUUUUUGUAUUAAUCUCUGCAGAAUUACAGGGAAAUAUUUCUUGUGAAUUGAGAUUGAGAACAAAAUCUGUCCACUUCACAAUUAGGAAUUUAUUCAAAAUGAUUUGAUAUUCAAAUGAAAAUUGGAGAAAAUUUACCUUGAAAAUUGGAGAAAUUGAAUUUCAUGGUUAUUCCAGUAAUGAUCUACAAAAAAGUUGGAG